GACGAACGCUGGCGGCGUGCUUAACACAUGCAAGUCGAACGGAAAGGCCUUUUCGGAGGUACUCGAGUGGCGAACGGGUGAGUAACACGUGGGUGAUCUGCCCUGCACUCUGGGAUAAGCCUGGGAAACUGGGUCUAAUACCGGAUAGGACCGCACUUUAGUGUGUGUGGUGGAAAGUUUUUUCGGUGUAGGAUGAGCCCGCGGCCUAUCAGCUUGUUGGUGGGGUAAUGGCCUACCAAGGCGGCGACGGGUAGCCGGACUGAGAGGUUGGUCGGCCACAGUGGGACUGAGAUACGGCCCAGACUCCUACGGGAGGCAGCAGUGGGGAAUAUUGCACAAUGGGCGCAAGCCUGAUGCAGCGACGCCGCGUGGGGGAUGACGGCCUUCGGGUUGUAAACUCCUUUCGCCAGGGACGAAGCGUUUUGUGACGGUACCUGGAGAAGAAGCACCGGCUAACUACGUG
This 463-nucleotide ribosomal RNA is filed under the name uncultured bacterium. RNAcentral's name for it is "partial 16S ribosomal RNA". It matches the Rfam family "Bacterial small subunit ribosomal RNA", at positions 28 to 507 of the family's 1533-position model. The record is from RNAcentral.